AGAGUUUGAUCCUGGCUCAGAUUGAACGCUGGCGGCAGGCUUAACACAUGCAAGUCGAGCGGGGGAGAUUGCUUCGGUAAUUGACCUAGCGGCGGACGGGUGAGUAAUACUUAGGAAUCUGCCUAUUAAUGGGGGACAACAUCUCGAAAGGGAUGCUAAUACCGCAUACGCCCUACGGGGGAAAGCAGGGGAUCACUUGUGACCUUGCGUUAAUAGAUGAGCCUAAGUCGGAUUAGCUAGUUGGUGGGGUAAAGGCCUACCAAGGCGACGAUCUGUAGCGGGUCUGAGAGGAUGAUCCGCCACACUGGGACUGAGACACGGCCCAGACUCCUACGGGAGGCAGCAGUGGGGAAUAUUGGACAAUGGGGGGAACCCUGAUCCAGCCAUGCCGCGUGUGUGAAGAAGGCCUUAUGGCUGUAAAGCACUUUAAGCGAGGAGGAGGCUCUCUUGGUUAAUACCCAAGAAGAGUGGACGUUACUCGCAGAAUAAGCACCGGCUAACUCUGUGCCAGCAGCCGCGGUAAUACAGAGGGUGCGAGCGUUAAUCGGAUUUACUGGGCGUAAAGCGUGCGUAGGCGGCUUUUUAAGUCGGAUGUGAAAUCCUCGAGCUUAACUUGGGAAUUGCAUUCGAUACUGGGAAGCUAGAGUAUGGGAGAGGAUGGUAGAAUUCCAGGUGUAGCGGUGAAAUGCGUAGAGAUCUGGAGGAAUACCGAUGGCGAAGGCAGCCAUCUGGCCUAAUACUGACGCUGAGGUACGAAAGCAUGGGGAGCAAGCAGGAUUAGAUACCCUGGUAGUCC
Molecule: ribosomal RNA, 796 nt
Filed under: uncultured bacterium
Lineage: Bacteria
Description: bacterial SSU rRNA
Rfam family: Bacterial small subunit ribosomal RNA
Source: RNAcentral